GAGGAUCGUUAGUCACGUGAGCGUUCUCGCGCUGUGUCUCUGAAGGGUGGUGAAUAGGCGCCAUUUUGGUGCUGUGGGGGGAUGCUGAUGUGUUGUUAUUAGAGGCUUGGGGUGCUGCUGUGUGAGCGGCCCCAGAGCUGUGGGGAUGGGAUUGGAAAGCCCUGGAGAGAGGAUGGGAAGGGGCCCUCGAUUGGGGAUGUAUAGUAGUAGUGGCAGCUGUGAGGAAAGGAGCCAGCUGUAGUGGAUGUGGGCACAGGGCCUGCUGGGCUGGGGCAUAGAGGAGGGUGCAGCGGGGCUGUGACUGGUUUGUACUGGCUUGUCCUGGGUACUGCAGGUCAGCACUGGGCGGAAUUGGCGUUCAGGCUCAUCUCCACAGCAGAAGAAGGAAAGGUAGCUGUGAAUGGCACUGUGUACAAAUGAAGAGUAGGGGAGGAAAGUUUCCCAGUGUUGCAUGGCUGAGAUUCAAGGACCAUGUUCAGUGCAGGCAGCUUCAGAAACACUCCCUAUAUCCUGGAUAACAUUUCCUGCCAGUGAGAUGAUUGUGCUGCUGUAUUUUGUCUUCUUUUAGGCAACAUCAGAGAACAUAUAUUGCAUUUCUUACGGUGUUUGUUUGUUUAUAUAUAUGUAUGUAUCAGGGACCAAUCUCUACUGGGGUAUAAAAACUAUGUUGGUCAUGACAGUAAAAAGAUGCCUGUAGUUAAAUGUAUUUUGGUAGCCAUUGGUAUGUUUUUAAUUAUGUGGGUUCUUGAGAUAAUUCUGCUGGUGUAAAAGCAUCAGUUGGAUUAACAAAACAUCUCCAGAAGAACUCUUCAUGGUGACUAAUUUACAAAUAUCUGGAUCCUAUUUGACUGUGGUUCUUACUGGAGCCUGGCAAUAGCCUGUUUGACCUUUGGUAGAAGCCAGGUUGAUGGAGGGUACGGUCACAGCAGCUUCUGGUGAGCACUUCUGGCUGUGAAGCUCCAGAGGGCUCAUGGAGAGCAGCUGAAAAGGCUUCCUGUGUGUCCUACCCUGGGUGUGCUGGUGGUUUCAUUACUCUCUGAUUUAAAAUGCUGCAGUGCUGGGUAGCAGGGAGAAGAGGACGUGGGUAACAGCACAAAAAGCCACCUAUACUGUCAGCUGGAGCCGAAGCGUAUGGGAGCAAUGCCGGGCUGGCCCGCCUGGUGGCAAACUGCUGUCACUGGCAGCACCUCUCUGCUGAGCAAGUUUGGAAACAACGAGCGCGCUCACUGGGAUUUCAGGCUGUAAUCUCAUCUCUCUGCGCUUUGAGGCUUUCAGGGGCCUGCUCAUCCCUCUACAAU
Molecule: long non-coding RNA, 1298 nt
Filed under: Gallus gallus (chicken)
Lineage: Eukaryota; Metazoa; Chordata; Aves; Galliformes; Phasianidae
Description: long non-coding RNA NONGGAT002922
Source: RNAcentral